RNAcentral lists this long non-coding RNA (335 nucleotides) under Carica papaya (papaya). Its description in RNAcentral is "long non-coding RNA (CPAP_LNC002513)". Lineage: Eukaryota; Viridiplantae; Streptophyta; Magnoliopsida; Brassicales; Caricaceae. The record is from RNAcentral.
ACGCCAUAUAGUUUCAUCAAUCAAAUAUUGCACCUACUAGAGGCAUGUUUUUCUUCAUGAAUGAUCAUUAUAGUUUACAAACCUUAUUUCCUUCUUCUUUGUGGCAAAACUUUCAAGUUAUAUUGUAUGCAACUCUUUUUCCAUGUUUCCAUUAAGAAAACUCACCUUAACAUUCAUUUGCCAAAAAUUUAAGUCAUGGUAAGGAGGUAUUGCAAGAAGCAUCAAAUACUACAUGCAACCAAUAAGGAUGUUUAUUAAUUCAGAACUGUAUCAGACCAAACCAACAACAAGAAAACUAUGGAUAUACCAAUCGAAGAUUGGAUUAAAUUGGAUUC